Molecule: ribosomal RNA, 464 nt
Filed under: uncultured bacterium
Lineage: Bacteria
Description: partial 16S ribosomal RNA
Rfam family: Bacterial small subunit ribosomal RNA
Source: RNAcentral
CUACGGGGCGCAGCAGCUAAGAAUCUUCCGCAAUGGGCGAAAGCCUGACAGAGCGACGCCGCGUGGGUGAAGAAGGCCGAGAGGUUGUAAAGCCCUUUUCUGCUUGAGGAAUAAGCAUCGGAGGGAAUGCCGGUGUGAUGACGGUAGGGCAGGAAUAAGCCCCGGCUAAUUACGUGCCAGCAGCCGCGGUAACACGUAUGGGGCGAGCGUUGUUCGGAAUGAUUGGGCGUAAAGGGCGUGUAGGCGGAAAGGCAAGUCUGGUGUGAAAGACCGCAGCUCAACUGCGGGACCGCGCUGGAAACUGCAUAUCUUGAGUUCCGGAGGGGGAGUUGGAAUUCCUGGUGUAGGGGUGAAAUCUGUUGAUAUCAGGAAGAACACCGGUGGCGAAGGCGAACUCCUGGACGAGAACUGACGCUGAGGCGCGAAAGCGUGGGGAGCGAACAGGAUUAGAUACCCCCGUAGUC